GAUUAAGCUACAAAGAGCAUAUGGAGGAUGCCUUGGCACUAGGCGCCGAUGAAGGACGUGACAAGCUGCGAUAAGCUACGGGGAGUUGCUAAUGAACUGUGAUCCGUAGAUUUCCGAAUGUGGAAACACACUGUUUUUAAUCAAACAGUAUUAUAACAUGAAUACAUAGUGUUAUAAGGGGAACCCAGGGAACUGAAACAUCUUAGUACCUGGAGGAAAAGAAAGUAAACAAACGAUUGCGGUAGUAGUGGCGAGCGAACCCGCAAGAGCCCAAACCCGCCCUAGUAAUAGGUCGGGGGUUCGGACCCCAACGUGGUAUUGCAAUGCAUAGACGAAGAUUUCUGGAAAGUUAAGCGAAACAGGGUAAUAGCCCCGUAGUCGAAAUGCAAAACAAACCUAGGGUGAUCCAGAGUAGCGCAGGACACGUGAAAUCCGGCGUGAAUGAGCGAGGACCAUCUCGUAAGGCUAAAUACGACCUAGUGACCGAUAGCGUACAGUACCGUGAGGGAACGGUGAAAAGAACCCCGGGAGGGGA
This 535-nucleotide ribosomal RNA is filed under the name Clostridia bacterium. RNAcentral describes it as "partial 23S ribosomal RNA". It matches the Rfam family "Bacterial large subunit ribosomal RNA", at positions 1 to 537 of the family's 2925-position model. The record is from RNAcentral. Lineage: Bacteria; Bacillati; Bacillota; Clostridia.